This 500-nucleotide ribosomal RNA is filed under the name uncultured bacterium. RNAcentral describes it as "partial 16S ribosomal RNA". It matches the Rfam family "Bacterial small subunit ribosomal RNA", at positions 30 to 523 of the family's 1533-position model. The record is from RNAcentral.
AUUGAACGCUGGCGGCAUGCCUUACACAUGCAAGUCGAACGGCAGCACGGGAGCAAUCCUGGUGGCGAGUGGCGAACGGGUGAGUAAUAUAUCGGAACGUGCCCAGUCGUGGGGGAUAACGUAGCGAAAGCUACGCUAAUACCGCAUACGAUCUAUGGAUGAAAGCGGGGGAUCGCAAGACCUCGCGCGAUUGGAGCGGCCGAUAGCAGAUUAGGUAGUUGGUGAGGUAAAGGCUCACCAAGCCGACGAUCUGUAGCUGGUCUGAGAGGACGACCAGCCAAACUGGGACUGAGACACGGCCCAGACUCCUACGGGAGGCAGCAGUGUGGAAUUUUGGACAAUGGGCGCAAGCCUGAUCCAGCAAUGCCGCGUGCAGGAUGAAGGCCUUCGGGUUGUAAACUGCUUUUGUACGGAACGAAACGGCGAGCUCUAAUACAGUUUGCUAAUGACGGUACCGUAAGAAUAAGCACCGGCUAACUACGUGCCAGCCGCCGCGGUAA